This 497-nucleotide ribosomal RNA is filed under the name uncultured bacterium. RNAcentral's name for it is "partial 16S ribosomal RNA". It matches the Rfam family "Bacterial small subunit ribosomal RNA", at positions 28 to 507 of the family's 1533-position model. The record is from RNAcentral.
GAUGAACGCUGGCGGCGUGCCUAAUACAUGCAAGUCGAGCGAACAGACGAGGAGCUUGCUCCUCUGACGUUAGCGGCGGACGGGUGAGUAACACGUGGAUAACCUACCUAUAAGACUGGGAUAACUUCGGGAAACCGGAGCUAAUACCGGAUAAUAUAUUGAACCGCAUGGUUCAAUAGUGAAAGACGGUUUUGCUGUCACUUAUAGAUGGAUCCGCGCCGCAUUAGCUAGUUGGUAAGGUAACGGCUUACCAAGGCAACGAUGCGUAGCCGACCUGAGAGGGUGAUCGGCCACACUGGAAAUGAGACACGGUCCUGACUCCUACGGGAGGCAGCAGUAGGGAAUCUUCCGCAAUGGGCGAAAGCCUGACGGAGCAACGCCGCGUGAGUGAUGAAGGUCUUCGGAUCGUAAAACUCUGUUAUUAGGGAAGAACAAAUGUGUAAGUAACUAUGCACGUCUUGACGGUACCUAAUCAGAAAGCCACGGCUAACUACGUG